This 253-nucleotide ribosomal RNA is filed under the name uncultured bacterium. Its description in RNAcentral is "partial 16S ribosomal RNA". It matches the Rfam family "Bacterial small subunit ribosomal RNA", at positions 524 to 776 of the family's 1533-position model. The record is from RNAcentral.
UACAGAGAGUGCGAGCGUUAAUCGGAAUUACUGGGCGUAAAGGGUGUGUAGGUGGAUAGGUAAGUUAGAUGUGAAAUCCCCGGGCUUAACCUGGGAACUGCGUUUAAAACUGCCAAUCUAGAGUAAUGUAGAGGAUAGUGGAAUUUCCAGUGUAGCGGUGAAAUGCGUAGAUAUUGGAAGGAACACCAGUGGCGAAGGCGACUAUCUGGACAGAUACUGACACUGAGACACGAAAGCGUGGGGAGCAAACAGG